AUGAACGCUGGCGGCGUGCCUAAUACAUGCAAGUCGAGCGAACGGACGAGAAGCUUGCUUCUCUGAUGUUAGCGGCGGACGGGUGAGUAACACGUGGAUAACCUACCUAUAAGACUGGGAUAACUUCGGGAAACCGGAGCUAAUACCGGAUAAUAUUUUGAACCGCAUGGUUCAAAAGUGAAAGACGGUCUUGCUGUCACUUAUAGAUGGAUCCGCGCUGCAUUAGCUAGUUGGUAAGGUAACGGCUUACCAAGGCAACGAUGCAUAGCCGACCUGAGAGGGUGAUCGGCCACACUGGAACUGAGACACGGUACAGACUCCUACGGGAGGCAGCAGUAGGGAAUCUUCCGCAAUGGGCGAAAGCCUGACGGAGCAACGCCGCGUGAGUGAUGAAGGUCUUAGGAUCGUAAAACUAUGUUAUUAGGGAAGAACAUAUGUGUAAGUAACUGUGAACAUCUUGACGGUACCUAAUCAGAAAGCCACGGCUAACUACGUG
RNAcentral lists this ribosomal RNA (496 nucleotides) under uncultured bacterium. RNAcentral describes it as "partial 16S ribosomal RNA". It matches the Rfam family "Bacterial small subunit ribosomal RNA", at positions 29 to 507 of the family's 1533-position model. The record is from RNAcentral.